This 1039-nucleotide small RNA is filed under the name uncultured Pelagibacterales bacterium. RNAcentral's name for it is "bacterial SSU rRNA". The stretch from base 1 to 657 matches the Rfam family "Bacterial small subunit ribosomal RNA", at positions 867 to 1533 of the family's 1533-position model. The record is from RNAcentral. Lineage: Bacteria; Pseudomonadati; Pseudomonadota; Alphaproteobacteria; Candidatus Pelagibacterales.
CACCGCCUGGGGAGUACGACCGCAAGGUUAAAACUCAAAUGAAUUGACGGGGACCCGCACAAGUAGUGGAGCAUGUGGUUUAAUUCGAAGAUACGCGCAGAACCUUACCAACACUUGACAUGUUCGUCGCGACUUUAAGAGAUUAAAGUUUUCGGUUCGGCCGGACGAAACACAGGUGCUGCAUGGCUGUCGUCAGCUCGUGUCGUGAGAUGUUGGGUUAAGUCCCGCAACGAGCGCAACCCUCACUUUUAGUUGCCAUCAUUUAGUUGGGCACUCUGAAAGAACUGCCAGUGAUAAGCUGGAGGAAGGUGGGGAUGACGUCAAGUCCUCAUGGCCCUUACGUGUUGGGCUACACACGUGCUACAAUGGUAUCUACAACAGGAAGCAAGACGGCGACGUUAAGCAAAUCCUUAAAAGAUACCUCAGUUCGGAUUGCACUCUGCAACUCGAGUGCAUGAAGCUGGAAUUACUAGUAAUCGUGGAUCAGCGUGCCACGGUGAAUGCGUCCCGGGUCUUGUACACACCGCCCGUCACACCAUGGGAGUUGGUUCUACCUUAAGGCAAGGUUUAAAACCCUUGACCACGGUAUAGUCAGCGACUGGGGUGAAGUCGUAACAAGGUAGCCGUAGGGGAACCUGCGGCUGGAUUACCUCCUUUCUAAGGAUGAGUGAAAGUAAAUUUCAUUCUAAAUAAUACACAGGCAAUGUUGACCGUCCUCAUUUCUCUUCUUAAAAGUGUUUCUCUUGCAUGGGGGCCGGUAGCUCAGUUGGUUAGAGCACACCCUUGAUAAGGGUGGGGUCGAAAGUUCGAGUCUUUCUCGGCCCACCAAAUUUAGAUCUUGGGGGAUUAGCUCAGCUGGGAGAGCGCCUGAUUUGCAUUCAGGAGGUCAGCGGUUCGAUCCCGCUAUCCUCCACCAAACACUUAGUUAUUUUAAAUUGUGAAUAAAUUAAUAAUUAAUAAUCAAUAUCUAUAUCCGAACAUUAGUAAUGUAUUAGCUAAUGUUCAAACAAAAAUUUGAUUCACACAAGAAUUUUUUCUG